Molecule: ribosomal RNA, 1000 nt
Filed under: Acrocalymma sp. DNW-2020a
Lineage: Eukaryota; Fungi; Ascomycota; Dothideomycetes; Pleosporales; Acrocalymmaceae
Description: SSU rRNA
Rfam family: Eukaryotic small subunit ribosomal RNA
Source: RNAcentral
AUACCGUGAAACUGCGAAUGGCUCAUUAAAUCAGUUAUCGUUUAUUUGAUAGUACCUUACUACUUGGAUAACCGUGGUAAUUCUAGAGCUAAUACAUGCUGAAAACCCCAACUUCGGAAGGGGUGUAUUUAUUAGAUAAAAAACCAAUGCCCUUCGGGGCUUCUUGGUGAUUCAUGAUAACUAAACGGAUCGCAUGGCCUUGCGCCGGCGACGGUUCAUUCAAAUUUCUGCCCUAUCAACUUUCGAUGGUAAGGUAUUGGCUUACCAUGGUUUCAACGGGUAACGGGGAAUUAGGGUUCGAUUCCGGAGAGGGAGCCUGAGAAACGGCUACCACAUCCAAGGAAGGCAGCAGGCGCGCAAAUUACCCAAUCCCGACACGGGGAGGUAGUGACAAUAAAUACUGAUACAGGGCUCUUUUGGGUCUUGUAAUUGGAAUGAGUACAAUUUAAACCUCUUAACGAGGAACAAUUGGAGGGCAAGUCUGGUGCCAGCAGCCGCGGUAAUUCCAGCUCCAAUAGCGUAUAUUAAAGUUGUUGCAGUUAAAAAGCUCGUAGUUGAACCUUGGGCCUGGCUGGCAGGUCCGCCUCACCGCGUGUACUUGUCCGGCCGGGCCUUUCCUUCUGGAGAACCUCAUGCCCUUCACUGGGUGUGCUGGGGAACCAGGACUUUUACUUUGAAAAAAUUAGAGUGUUCAAAGCAGGCCUUUGCUCGAAUACGUUAGCAUGGAAUAAUAGAAUAGGACGUGCGGUCCUAUUUUGUUGGUUUCUAGGACCGCCGUAAUGAUUAAUAGGGACAGUCGGGGGCAUCAGUAUUCAAUUGUCAGAGGUGAAAUUCUUGGAUUUAUUGAAGACUAACUACUGCGAAAGCAUUUGCCAAGGAUGUUUUCAUUAAUCAGUGAACGAAAGUUAGGGGAUCGAAGACGAUCAGAUACCGUCGUAGUCUUAACCGUAAACUAUGCCGACUAGGGAUCGGGCGAUGUUCUCAUUUUGACUCGCUCGGC